RNAcentral lists this ribosomal RNA (635 nucleotides) under uncultured bacterium. RNAcentral describes it as "bacterial SSU rRNA". It matches the Rfam family "Bacterial small subunit ribosomal RNA", at positions 71 to 701 of the family's 1533-position model. The record is from RNAcentral.
UGAAGUGCUUCGGUACUGAUCCUAGCGGCGGACGGGUGAGUAAUGCUUAGGAAUCUGCCAUUUAGUGGGGGACAACAUUCCGAAAGGAAUGCUAAUACCGCAUACGUCCUACGGGAGAAAGCAGGGGAUCUUCGGACCUUGCGCUAAAUGAUGAGCCUAAGUCGGAUUAGCUAGUUGGUGGGGUAAAGGCCUACCAAGGCGACGAUCUGUAGCGGGUCCGAGAGGAUGAUCCGCCACACUGGGACUGAGACACGGCCCAGACUCCUACGGGAGGCAGCAGUGGGGAAUAUUGGACAAUGGGCGGAAGCCUGAUCCAGCCAUGCCGCGUGUGUGAAGAGGGCCUUUUGGUUGUAAAGCACUUUAAGCGAGGAGGAGGCUACUAGUAUUAAUACUACUGGAUAGUGGACGUUACUCGCAGAAUAAGCACCGGCUAACUCUGUGCCAGCAGCCGCGGUAAUACAGAGGGUGCGAGCGUUAAUCGGAUUUACUGGGCGUAAAGCGUGCGUAGGCGGCUGAUUAAGUCGGAUGUGAAAUCCCCGAGCUUAACUUAGGAAUUGCAUUCGAUACUGGUCAGCUAGAGUAUGGGAGAGGAUGGUAGAAUUCCAGGUGUAGCGGUGAAAUGCGUAGAGAUCUGG